GUUACUCCAGCAUUGUGGUGCCACAAAAGGAACCGACCCACAUUCAUUAAAUACCUGCCAAAUCCCAGGAGGAUAUAGAAUUAGAAGUAAAGCCAAUCGACAUUGUGGUAGCUCCUGGAGAUACAGUAAACAUAACCUGCACACUUNGCAGUAAACAUUUUGCGAGCACUGUGGCCUGGUAUAAAGAAGAAUAUGACCACAGCCUACAGCAACUUAACCUGACCUAUUUAUCCCGAAAACCAGGAGAAAGAACUCUACCUGAAGUAAAUUACACAAUUCACAAUGUGACGAGAAGUGCUUCUGGGCUAUAUUUUUGUGUCAUAACAAUUUUAGAAAAGUUAGUAAUGCUAAACUGGACGAGGCUGAUUGUCCAAGGUGAGUAGCCCAGCAGACUGCAAUCCUUUGUUGCUCUUUACUUUCGUGAAUUUGCCUCCUGAUUUCCAGCCUUCUCUGGGCACUGGGAUGGGCUUCACUGGGAGGGAGAGUGAGGCGGAUGCUUCAUGGAGCAAAUGACAAGAGAUGGGGUUGGCCGCUCU
This 536-nucleotide long non-coding RNA is filed under the name Salvator merianae (Argentine black and white tegu). RNAcentral's name for it is "lncRNA (ENSSMRG00000007915.1)". The record is from RNAcentral. Lineage: Eukaryota; Metazoa; Chordata; Lepidosauria; Squamata; Teiidae.